GCCUGGGCUGGUAUUAAACGUGGAGGACAAGAGCUGCAGAGCUGGAACCGUGCUGAGCACAGCCUUCCCAGGAACUGCAGGGGAAGCUCAGCACAGAGAUCCUUCUUACUCCAGUAAAUCUGCUGGUAUCACCAGGAUUUCUCCGGAGAGGAAUGGUGUGCAGCACUGGGGCAUUUAUUGCAGGCCUUUCAAACCGUGAGAUAAAGCAGUUGGCUUCCUCUUCCAGUGCACGAGGCCUCCUGCCACGCUUAUUUAUUUAUUUAGCACUGGGCUUCAACUGAGAAGGGGAAGACUUUAAUACUCCCAUCUGAUAUCAAAGAUGAAGGCAAGCUAAGAACAUACCUCUAACAGGAAUACAAGACUUCCUGUAGACUUCCUGCCACAGGGAAAUUAGUUUCCUACAGUGGUAUAAAGCUCUUGAACCUAAUCAAAGAUAAAACUCUGUUAAAGAAUUGUCUCCACGCAACAGAACAUUUCAAAAGCUGUAAAUAAACAAUACAAAGCAGAACAACACUCACUGUGCACAGACUCCAUCUUCUCACAAAAAGACAGCUUUUUAUUUUGACAAAAAAUAACAAGACAUUUUCACACAAAUAUUGCAGUAAAAAAAAAAAAAUCCUUUCUCCUAGCUGUUUGCAUUCAGUGAGACUCUGCCCUCUGCAUGCGUUUGGCUGGGAUUCCUUUGCCAACAAAUGGUAAUCCCCCUGCAUGAAGCACUGCACCGAGAACCAGCAGAGCCAUGGGCCUGAGCACAGACACACAGAGAAGGAAGAAGGAGGGGGAGGACAAGAAGAAAUCCUCGUGGCAUUCAAAACCUUUGCUUUCAAAUGGUGCAAAGAGAUUUGGAAGGAAAAAAAAACCUUGGGCUGACAGCUGCCGCUUCUUGGAGGAACUCCUGAUCUGCAGAAAGGAUGCAGCCGCUCUGCACAGAGCUCUGGGAGUCCUUUCACCUGAUUCCUGCUACAGGCACCUGCUGCUGCUUGCGGAUCUUGUUGAACAGCUCCAUGUACUGAACCAUUGUGUCCGCGGGGCUGUAGAUGCUGUCAUGUUUGGUGCCAAACACAGACGGGAUGCCGGGAGUGUGGCUCCCCAUGAAGCUCUGCAUGAACUCCAUCAGCAGGUUCCAGCAGUCGUUGGCUAUCACACAAGGGCAGUAUUCCACCUGGCAACAGAAACCACAGCCCUGAAGCUCACUGCAGGGCCAUAACCACGCACAGGACAACGCACGUUCCUCUCUCUGCCUCACUGUUUUAAAUAUGAGAUAUGCAUCGAGAGUUUGAAGGCAGCAAGCAGCCCCUCUGUGCUGUGGCUGCAGAAGGAAAACAGUGCUCUUCUCUUUGAGAAUGUUGAGCAUAUAACAGCAGAAGGAUGGACAAACAUACGAACAGGACAUGCAGGGAAUAUGCAAGGCACCUCUUCAAAAGAGAAGAAAGGGAAAUUUACCCUGUAAGUUCGUUGGUCAUAUUAAAUCCCCUGUACUGGAAAAGCAAUGAUAAACUUCAUUCCCACAAGUUGGUAUAUUAACAGCUUAUGUGGCCAUGACUUCUUUCAGGUGUGUAAUGAUAAAGCCUUGGGAUUUAAGGACUUGCAGUUCCAGAUCAGAGAUUAUGUCCUAAAGGACACCCUGAAAACAAACUACUAAACCAAAGCAGAAGCAACCAGACUGCCAAGAAAAUCUGGUCCUGAACUCAAGCUUAGGGUAAAACAGGCUUCUCUUUAACCCCAGGUCAACAGCAGUGCUCACACUACUACUUUUGUGUUUAUUCCUGUGAAGCCACUUCUUAAUCCCAUCCCUGCUAGCUAGGAACACCAGCCCGGGUAGAUGCAGUGUCAUUAUUAAUUAUAGACCAGUUAAUAGGAUUUGUGUGUUUAGCAAGACAUGAGCUCAGAUUUUGAAAGAUCUUCCAACACCUAAUUCUCAGCUACCUUAAGGACUGCUAGGCACCAACACAUCUACAUGUCUGGAGCCCCACAUGCUCUACUUUGCCCUUCCUGUACCAGCACAGCCCAGCUCCUUGUGUUAAUCCAAGUCGUUUCUGAGCUGCUGAGGUUUGUCCAUAGCUUGAGUGCCUUGCACUCACACCUGCAACCAGCCAACCACCUCCAGGACCAUCCUGGGUCCUGCCACACAGGGUCCUGUGCACACAUACAUCUCCCUCUACAGCAUUCAAGGUUUGCUGCAGCCCAGCUUCCGCCCCAUCAGACACCCGACAGCAGCAGCCAUGCUGUGACUGAUGCUCUCGAGUCUCAUCAACAGCCACAGCACUGAGCAGAGCAUGGAAGCCAUCUGAUGAGAGGCUCUGAGCCCACACAGCACCCCACGGUGCAGCAAUCCAGGCCAGCACACCUGGGGCAGCACUGACGUCCGCAGCACACAGCGCUCUGAUGAGGAGUGAGCAGCUUUAGAGCCAAACCUGCGGCAGGAGGGCACCGUCUGCUCGGCCCAGCCACCGUCUGCACAAGGUCAGGAAAGAAAGCAAAACCCAAACCAGCAUUA
This is a long non-coding RNA of Lagopus leucura (white-tailed ptarmigan), 2497 nucleotides long. RefSeq lists it as uncharacterized. The record is from RefSeq and is a predicted model, not a curated record. Lineage: Eukaryota; Metazoa; Chordata; Aves; Galliformes; Phasianidae. The transcript is spliced from 3 exons.